CUCAAAGUCAGACAGGCUGGCAUUCGCUUACCUGUCUGAAAUCCGUCAUGUGAAUUUGCUUAGACUUUCUGGGCAUCUAGUGAGCGAUCACGUUAAAUUCAAUCUGUGUAAGGUAAAACCUUUGAACCAUUGCAAAAAUUCCAUUGGCAAGAGUCUCAAAAAAUAUUCUUUAAUCGACUUCAAAAUGCCCGAAAAACCCCCUGCGAAGUCACCGCCAAAGUCGCCACAGAAAUCGCCACCGAAGCCCCUGACCAGCAUCACCAAACCGUCCACAUUCGGGACUCCUAAUCCCAGAGGCCCCAAGCCAUCAGGCGCUGGAACGAAUCGUCCUCCUCUGGCCAAUCAACAUGAUAGGAUUUGGAAGAUUAUGAAAAUGUAAUUACGGAAACGAUUUUAAGGAUGGCUCAAGACAACUCUUCGAACUUUUAAACAAAACAUAAUUUAUAAUUCAAAAUGUGUUUUGAAUAAACUAACGACGGCGCUGAAUAAAGCGAAAAAGUCCCACAACAUUA
Non-coding RNA from Drosophila kikkawai, 512 nucleotides. The record is from RefSeq and is a predicted model, not a curated record. NCBI's taxonomy places the organism in Eukaryota, Metazoa, Arthropoda, Insecta, Diptera, Drosophilidae.